Molecule: ribosomal RNA, 117 nt
Filed under: Clostridia bacterium
Lineage: Bacteria; Bacillati; Bacillota; Clostridia
Source: RNAcentral
AUUGGUGGCAAUAGCGAGGAUGGUCCACCUGUACCCAUACCGAACACAGAAGUUAAGCUCCUUAGCGCCUAUGAUACUUGGCUGGCAACGGCCUGGGAAAGCGGGACGCCGCCAAUA